AACGCACAUUGCGCCCCUUGGUAUUCCAUGGGGCAUGCCUGUUCGAGCGUCAUUUGUACCUUCAAGCUCUGCUUGGUGUUGGGUGUUUGUCUCGCCUUUGCGUGUAGACUCGCCUUAAAACAAUUGGCAGCCGGCAUGUUAGCCUGGAGCGCAGCACAUAUUGCGCCUCAUGCUAGCGAAUGUUGGCCCCCAUCAAGUCCAUUUAUUUGCUCUUGACCUCGGAUCAGGUAGGGAUACCCGCUGAACUUAA
This 250-nucleotide unclassified non-coding RNA is filed under the name uncultured Leptosphaeriaceae. Its description in RNAcentral is "sequence contains ITS2". The record is from RNAcentral. Lineage: Eukaryota; Fungi; Ascomycota; Dothideomycetes; Pleosporales; Leptosphaeriaceae.